This 327-nucleotide ribosomal RNA is filed under the name uncultured eukaryote. RNAcentral's name for it is "partial 18S ribosomal RNA". It matches the Rfam family "Eukaryotic small subunit ribosomal RNA", at positions 1470 to 1796 of the family's 1831-position model. The record is from RNAcentral.
CCCUUAGAUGUUCUGGGCCGCACGCGCGCUACACUGACGAAUGCAACGAGCUUAUAACCUUGGCCGAAAGGUCUGGGUAAUCUCCAAAUUUCGUCGUGAUGGGGAUAGAUUAUUGCAAUUAUUAAUCUUCAACGAGGAAUGCCUAGUAAGCGCGAGUCAUCAGCUUGCGUUGAUUACGUCCCUGCCCUUUGUACACACCGCCCGUCGCUCCUACCGAUUGAAUGGUCCGGUGAAGCGUUCGGACCGUGGCCUUUGGACGGUUCGCCGUCUGUUGGCUGCGGGAAGUUCGUUAAACCUUAUCAUUUAGAGGAAGGAGAANUCGUAACA